This 543-nucleotide ribosomal RNA is filed under the name uncultured Glomeromycotina. Its description in RNAcentral is "SSU rRNA". It matches the Rfam family "Eukaryotic small subunit ribosomal RNA", at positions 552 to 1096 of the family's 1831-position model. Lineage: Eukaryota; Fungi; Glomeromycota. The record is from RNAcentral.
AGGGCAAGUCUGGUGCCAGCAGCCGCGGUAAUUCCAGCUCCAAUAGCGUAUAUUAAAGUUGUUGCAGUUAAAAAGCUCGUAGUUGAAUUUCGGGGUCAGUAGNUUGGUCAUGCCUCAGGUAUGUACUGAUCUCACUGAUUCCUCCUUCCUGAUGAACCGUAAUGCCAUUAAUUUGGUGUUGCGGGGAAACUGGACUGUUACUUUGAAAAAUUUAGAGUGUUUAAAGCAGGCUAACGCUUGAAUACAUUAGCAUGGAAUAAUGAAAUAGGACGUUCGAUCUUAUUUUGUUGGUUUCUAGGAUUGACGUAAUGAUUAAUAGGGAUAGUUGGGGGCAUUAGUAUUCAAUUGUCAGAGGUGAAAUUCUUGGAUUUAUUGAAGACUAACUACUGCGAAAGCAUUUGCCAAGGAUGUUUUCAUUAAUCAAGAACGAAAGUUAGGGGAUCGAAGACGAUCAGAUACCGUCGUAGUCUUAACCAUAAACUAUGCCGACUAGGGAUCGGAUGAUGUUAAUUUUUUAAUGACUCAUUCGGCGCCUUACGGGAA